Molecule: long non-coding RNA, 1322 nt
Filed under: Sus scrofa (pig)
Lineage: Eukaryota; Metazoa; Chordata; Mammalia; Artiodactyla; Suidae
Description: lncRNA (ENSSSCG00025047130.1)
Source: RNAcentral
AUGCUGUCACCGGGACUCAGGACACAGGUUAGAGAGGACAAGGGGAAAGCCUCACAGGGACUCAGGACACAGGUUAGAGAGGACACGGGGACCCUGUCACAGGGACUCAGGACACAGGUUAGAGAGGACACGGGGACGCUGUCACCGGGACUCAGGACACAGGUUAGAGAGGACACGGGGACGCUGUCACAGGGACUCAGGACACAGAGGUUAGAGAGGACACGGGGACAGUGUCACAGGGACUCAGGACACAGGUUAGAGGAUUCGAGUACAGUGUCAAACAAGACUGACACGCACAGCCUGACACCUGGCAGAACCCACGCUAGGGACAUAGACACAGACAGGCAACCGACGCUGGAGGAGGGGCCAAGGCCGGGCAGCAGAAGGACAAGGUGCCCACCAGGCGGCCCAGAGCCACUGGGCUCCGUGUGCAGAACACACCCUGCCUCGGACCCGCCAUGUGCAAAUGAGCCAUCAGAGUGCAGCCCAGACCUGCAGGGAAGCGCUAACCGGAUCAACCUCUAGAAGAAAACCUGAGAAAUGAAGGGGCCGUGGAUUUGCCAGUACCUCCUGCCUAAGGUACAAACUCCGUUAAAAAAAAAUCUGAAAGCUCAAAGGGACCAAAAUUAGAAACGUUUGCAAAUCCGACGACUGUUAUGAGAAUGAAAAGAGCAAACAUACAGACGGACACAGCUGACAAAGGAUGUGUACCUAGAGAAUCACAAGCACAUGGAACUCAGGGCUACGAAAACAACAGAUGGGUUUUCUCUUUUUCUCUUUCUUCUUGGCUGCCCUGUGGCAUAUGGAGUUCUGGGCCCUGGCCUGGGAUCAGAUCUGAGUGGUAGCUGUGAUGCAGGCCACAGGUAUGACAACAUCAGGUGCCAGGCCGGAGACUGAACCUGCGUGCUGGCAUUGCAGAGACACUGCUGAGCCCACUGUGCCGCAGCAGCAACUCCAACACCUGAUUUUUAUAAUUUUUUUGUCUUUUUCUAUUUUGGGCCACACCUGUGGCAUAGUAAUGCUCCCAGGCUAGGUGUGGAAUCAGAGUUACAGCUACUGGCCUACUCCACAGCCACAGCAACACAUGAUCUGAGCCGCAUCUGGGACCUACAGCACAGCCAUGGCAACGCCAGAUCCUCAACCCACAGAGUGAGGCCAGGGAUUGAACUUGCACCCUCAUGGAUCCUAGUCAGGUUCAUUUCUGCCGAGCCACAAAGGGAACUGUCAAGAUCUCUGAAUUUUAAAAUGGCUGAAAUGCUGAUAGACUAUUAUGUGAAUUUUACCACAAUAAAAUGUUACCUACUUUAUGCUUCUAUUUGUGU